Molecule: ribosomal RNA, 253 nt
Filed under: uncultured bacterium
Lineage: Bacteria
Description: partial 16S ribosomal RNA
Rfam family: Bacterial small subunit ribosomal RNA
Source: RNAcentral
UACGUAGGGGGCAAGCGUUGUCCGGAAUCAUUGGGCGUAAAGAGCGUGUAGGCGGUCCGAUAAGUCCGCUCUGAAAGCCCGGGGCUCAACCCCGGGAGGCGGGCGGAUACUGUCGGGCUAGAGUCCGGAAGAGGCAAGUGGAAUUCCUGGUGUAGCGGUGAAAUGCGCAGAUAUCAGGAGGAACACCGAUGGCGAAGGCAGGUCUCUGGGCUGAUACUGACGCUCAUGCACGAAAGCGUGGGGAGCAAACAGG